UACCACAAAUAUGUAUAUUAAGAUAGCUUGUUACAAUACGAUCAUAAUUUUCUCUUUGCGUUAUAUCUUGCAGCUUUAGUAAUUGGUUUAUUGUUGUUGACAGACAUACUGUAUGUACAGUGAGACAGAACGAUGAGCGCAUCUGCAUCGAAGGUGAAGCUCUCAGAGCUGAUAGUUUAUUCCUGCGUCCUUUUUGUGCAAUACAGUACAGAAUACAUCCUGUAAGUAUAAUAAUUAUUACCACCUCUGCUAUUACCACUGAACUAAGAUCAAUUCACAAUCUGUGAAGACGAUUAGACAAAAUAAAAUAAAAAAAAACUAAUUUAGAGUUUGUUUCUACCUUUCUGCUGGGUAUCCAACUAAUGCAGAGUAUAUUCAAGUUGCCAACAUACUGGUUGUGAAGAACCCUUUCCAGAGAAAUAUAAAAGGAAAUGACUGUGAAACUUGUGUUGGGGAGUAUCAGAAAACACAUCCAGACACCUGGACUGUCAAAGACCACACAGCACAAACAUUCUCCUGGAGACGCUGAGAAAGCACAGAAGGAAUGUCUGUGGAGGAUGUACUCAAACACACCCAUACUUAAGGACACCUGCUGGAGGGGACCCUGUUACACCAUUUCCUACCAUACAGCUGAUGGAUACUGACUGGAAAAUGGUAAUCAUAGGAGGAGGGUUCAGUGUGGUGACAGAAGAUGGAAUAGACGUGUGUCAGUGCACCAGCCUUGGUGAAGCCUUCAUAACAGCCUUCUGGAUGUAUUUUGCUUUCAACAUUGCAUAUCCAACAUACCUGAGAAAGACA
This is a long non-coding RNA of Cyprinus carpio (common carp), 798 nucleotides long. RefSeq lists it as uncharacterized. The transcript has 3 exons. The record is from RefSeq and is a predicted model, not a curated record. NCBI's taxonomy places the organism in Eukaryota, Metazoa, Chordata, Actinopteri, Cypriniformes, Cyprinidae.